This 679-nucleotide long non-coding RNA is filed under the name Bos indicus x Bos taurus (hybrid cattle). RNAcentral's name for it is "lncRNA (ENSBIXG00000028794.1)". Lineage: Eukaryota; Metazoa; Chordata; Mammalia; Artiodactyla; Bovidae. The record is from RNAcentral.
CUUAGCCCUUAGCACGCCCUUGGUAUUUAAAGGCUUAUUUUCUUCUUUGUUUUUCUCUCUCAGGGAAAGACAAAUGGCUCCUAUUUAUGAGUCCUCAUUGCGUGCAGUCAGGGUCGCUGUGAAGAGCUGCCGAGGCCGUGGCUGAUCACGUAGAAUGCGAAGAGCACCUUGUAGAAUUGUGUAAGGUGCCAGCCACUCGGCUGACUGCUUGUUUCCUCCUUGCAAUGAGCCCCAGGGAACUUUGUGGGACUGAAGUGUGUGUGGCGGGGGAGAGCCAGUGGCUCUGGUUUGGCAAGAUUGCUGCAUUCCCGAGUUCCUGAGACAUUUGCAUCGAAUUAACUCUGAAAUUUCAAGGUCGUGACCCAGGAGAGGAUGCCUGACCCAGGAAUGAAAACUGGAAGAGCUUUGAACAUCUAUCAACAUGUUUCUUGACAGGCCCUUGGACCCGGCCUUCUAUUUCCAGGUCUGUGAUGCUGUCUCUGUGAUGGUGAGGAGGUGGCCCCUGAUUAAAGCAGUGUGGACCCAAGACAGAUUGUCCAUGGGCUGGUCAACAACUUAGGAGGUGUCAGGCACGAAGCCUUGCCCAGCUGGCAUCAUAGGCUCACCUCAGGACCAGAUAUACUCUUCCCUUUGCUGUGAGGAAGUGGGGAGUCUCAGUUCAGUUCAGUCGCUCAGUCGU